UUUAAAUGUAAAUUAAUAUUCCAAAUUAGUAUUAGUUAUGUUCUUGAAAUUUAAAAAAUUUGGCGGUAUUUUAGUCUAUUCAGAGGAACCUGUUCUAUAAUCGAUAGUCCACGAUUUACUUUACUUAAUUUUAAUAAUUUGUAUAUCGUCGUUUAUUAAUAAUUUUAUAAGAAUUUAAAUUUUUAGAAUUUUAAAUUAAUAAAAAUGUCAGAUCAAGGUGCAGUUUAUAGUUAAGAAGAAAUGGGUUACAAUAAAUGUAUUUAUAUGAAUUAAUGUAUAUAAAGUUAUUAUGAAGGUGGAUUUGAUAGUAAUAAGAUUUUCUUAAAUUUUAUGAUUUUAGCUCUAAAAUAUGU
Molecule: ribosomal RNA, 353 nt
Filed under: Megadytes fraternus
Lineage: Eukaryota; Metazoa; Arthropoda; Insecta; Coleoptera; Dytiscidae
Description: partial 12S ribosomal RNA
Source: RNAcentral